This 796-nucleotide ribosomal RNA is filed under the name uncultured bacterium. RNAcentral's name for it is "bacterial SSU rRNA". It matches the Rfam family "Bacterial small subunit ribosomal RNA", at positions 8 to 796 of the family's 1533-position model. The record is from RNAcentral.
AGAGUUUGAUCAUGGCUCAGAACGAACGCUGGCGGCGCGCCUAAUACAUGCAAGUCGAGCGAGAAGACGUAGCAAUACGUUGGUACAGCGGCGAACGGGUGAGGAAUACAUGGGUAACCUACCCUCGAGUGGGGAAUAACUAGCCGAAAGGUUAGCUAAUACCGCAUACGAUUCCCGGAUUGCGGUUCGGGAAAGAAAGCUAUCCCGUGGGGAUGGCGCUCCUGGAUGGGCUCAUGUCCUAUCAGCUGGUUGGUGAGGUAACGGCUCACCAAGGCUUCGACGGGUAGCUGGUCUGAGAGGACGAUCAGCCACACUGGCACUGCGACACGGGCCAGACUCCUACGAGAGGCAGCAGUAAGGAAUAUUGCGCAAUGGGCGACAGCCUGACGCAGCGACGCCGCGUGGGGGAUGAAGGUCUUCGGAUUGUAAACCCCUUUCGGGAGGGAAGAGGGAAUGGGGCAACCCAUUCGGACGGUACCUCCAGAAGCAGCCACGGCUAACUUCGUGCCAGCAGCCGCGGUAAUACGAAGGUGGCAAGCGUUGUUCGGAUUCACUGGGCGUACAGGGAGCGUAGGCGGUUGGGUAAGCCCUCCGUGAAAUCUCCGGGCCUAACCCGGAAAGGGCAGAGGGGACUGCUUGGCUUGAGGACGGGAGAGGAGCGCGGAAUUCCCGGUGUAGCGGUGAAAUGCGUAGAGAUCGGGAGGAAGGCCGGUGGCGAAGGCGGCGCUCUGGAACGUUUCUGACGCUGAGGCUCGAAAGCGUGGGGAGCAAACAGGAUUAGAUACCCUAGUAGUCC